AUCACCUGUGGAUCUUGUUAAACUGCAGAUUUUGAUUUAGCAGGUUUGCAGUAGGGCCUGAAAAUCUGUAUUUUAGCAAGAUCUCAAGUGAUGCUAA
RNAcentral lists this microRNA precursor (97 nucleotides) under Felis catus (domestic cat). Its description in RNAcentral is "mir-544 microRNA precursor family". It matches the Rfam family "mir-544 microRNA precursor family". The record is from Rfam by way of RNAcentral. Lineage: Eukaryota; Metazoa; Chordata; Mammalia; Carnivora; Felidae.